GACGAACGCUGGCGGCGUGCUUAACACAUGCAAGUCGAACGGAAAGGCCCUGCUUUUGUGGGGUGCUCGAGUGGCGAACGGGUGAGUAACACGUGAGUAACCUGCCCUUGACUUUGGGAUAACUUCAGGAAACUGGGGCUAAUACCGGAUAGGAGCUCCUGCUGCAUGGUGGGGGUUGGAAAGUUUCGGCGGUUGGGGAUGGACUCGCGGCUUAUCAGCUUGUUGGUGGGGUAGUGGCUUACCAAGCCUUUGACGGGUAGCCGGCCUGAGAGGGUGACCGGCCACAUUGGGACUGAGAUACGGCCCAGACUCCUACGGGAGGCAGCAGUGGGGAAUAUUGCACAAUGGGCGGAAGCCUGAUGCAGCAACGCCGCGUGCGGGGUGACGGCCUUCGGGUUGUAAACCGCUUUCGCCUGUGACGAAGCGUGAGUGACGGUAAUGGGUAAAGAAGCACCGGCUAACUACGUG
Molecule: ribosomal RNA, 468 nt
Filed under: uncultured bacterium
Lineage: Bacteria
Description: partial 16S ribosomal RNA
Rfam family: Bacterial small subunit ribosomal RNA
Source: RNAcentral